GGAAAUUCCUGUAGACGUGGUUCAUCUUUGACGGUGUGGGCUGGGGACGAUUGGGGUUCGGUGGGUAAACAGAUCAAGAGACCUCAGAUUCAUAAUCCCAUCAUAGAAAGGCAGAAGCUGCUAGGCGAAGAGAUGAGAGGGUAUGGUUCUAGUUCAAGUUCUUCUACGAGGGAGGUGAAGAUCAAGAUUACAAAGAGGAAGCUGGAAGAGUUAAUGGCAAGAGUUGAGAUGCAGGGUUUGUCUAUGGAACAAGUUCUUGCUAGGUUGAUCAACUCAGUUGAUAAAUUUGAAAUAAUGGAGAUGGAGCAUCAUCAUCAUCUUCAUAGGUCUUGGAAGCCUGCCCUCCAAAGUAUUCCAGAGGUGAACUAGAACACAAUUUAUUGAUGUAUAUGUUUUUUGGAAGCAAUUUAUUGAUGUAUAUAUGAUCAAUUUGUUACUAGACUUUGCUAAUUCCUCUUGUGUUCUUCAUUUAUGAGCUUAGGGAUGGCUCCAAAUUCUUAACAUAUAUUGUACAUAUGGUG
RNAcentral lists this unclassified non-coding RNA (521 nucleotides) under Hevea brasiliensis (rubber tree). Lineage: Eukaryota; Viridiplantae; Streptophyta; Magnoliopsida; Malpighiales; Euphorbiaceae. The record is from RNAcentral.